RNAcentral lists this ribosomal RNA (440 nucleotides) under uncultured bacterium. RNAcentral describes it as "partial 16S ribosomal RNA". It matches the Rfam family "Bacterial small subunit ribosomal RNA", at positions 338 to 795 of the family's 1533-position model. The record is from RNAcentral.
CCUACGGGAGGCAGCAGUGGGGGAUAUUGCACAAUGGGGGAAACCCUGCUGCAGCGACGCCGCGUGGGUGAAGAAGCGCCUCGGCGCGUAAAGCCCUGUCAGCAGGGAAGAAAAUGACGGUACCGGAAGAAGAAGCGCCGGCUAACUACGUGCCAGCAGCCGCGGUAAUACGUAGGGGGCAAGCGUUAGCCGGAUUUCCUGGGUGUAAAGGGGGCGCAGACGGCGAUGCAAGCCAGGAGUGAAAGCCCGGGGCCCAACCCCGGGACUGCGCGUGGAACUGCGUGGCUGGAGUGCAGGAGGGGCAGGCGGAAUUCCUGGGGUAGCGGUGAAAUGCGGAGAUAUCAGGAGGAACACCGGUGGCGAAGGCGGCCUGCUGGACUGCGACUGACGUUGAGGCCCGAAAGCGUGGGGAGCAAACAGGAUUAGAUACCCUAGUAGUC